Molecule: ribosomal RNA, 467 nt
Filed under: uncultured bacterium
Lineage: Bacteria
Description: partial 16S ribosomal RNA
Rfam family: Bacterial small subunit ribosomal RNA
Source: RNAcentral
GACGAACGCUGGCGGCGUGCUUAACACAUGCAAGUCGUACGGAAAGGCCCUGCUUUUGUGGGGUGCUCGAGUGGCGAACGGGUGAGUAACACGUGAGUAACCUGCCCUUGACUUUGGGAUAACUUCAGGAAACUGGGGCUAAUACCGGAUAGGAGCUCCUGCUGCAUGGUGGGGGUUGGAAAGUUUCGGCGGUUGGGGAUGGACUCGCGGCUUAUCAGCUUGUUGGUGGGGUAGUGGCUUACCAAGGCUUUGACGGGUAGCCGGCCUGAGAGGGUGACCGGCCACAUUGGGACUGAGAUACGGCCCAGACUCCUACGGGAGGCAGCAGUGGGGAAUAUUGCACAAUGGGCGGAAGCCUGAUGCAGCAACGCCGCGUGCGGGAUGACGGCCUUCGGGUUGUAAACCGCUUUCGCCUGUGACGAAGCGUGAGUGACGGUAAUGGGUAAAGAAGCACCGGCUAACUACGU